CGCUGGCGGCGUGCCUAAUACAUGCAAGUAGGACGCACAGUUUAUACCGUAGCUUGCUACACCAUAGACUGUGAGUUGCGAACGGGUGAGUAACGCGUAGGUAACCUGCCUAUUAGAGGGGGAUAACUAUUGGAAACGAUAGCUAAUACCGCAUAACAGUAUGUAACACAUGUUAGAUGCUUGAAAGAUGCAAUUGCAUCGCUAGUAGAUGGACCUGCGUUGUAUUAGCUAGUAGGUAGGGUAAUGGCCUACCUAGGCGACGAUACAUAGCCGACCUGAGAGGGUGAUCGGCCACACUGGGACUGAGACACGGCCCAGACNCCUACGGGAGGCAGCAGNNNGGAAUCUUCGGCAAUGGGGGGAACCCUGACCGAGCAACGCCGCGUGAGUGAAGAAGGUUUUCGGAUCSUAAAGCUCUGUUGUUAAGGAAGAACGAGUGUGAGAAUGGAAAGUUCAUACUGUGACGGUACUUAACCAGAAAGGGACGGCUAACUACGUGCCAGCAGCCGCGGUAAUACGUAGGUCCCGAGCGUUGUCCGGAUUUAUUGGGCGUAAAGCGAGCGCAGGCGGUUAGAAAAGUCUGAAGUGAAAGGCAGUGGCUCAACCAUUGUAGGCUUUGGAAACUGUUUAACUUGAGUGCAGAAGGGGAGAGUGGAAUUCCAUGUGUAGCGGUGAAAUGCGUAGAUAUAUGGAGGAACACCGGUGGCGAAAGCGGCUCUCUGGUCUGUAACUGACGCUGAGGCUCGAAAGCGUGGGGAGCGAACAGGAUUAGAUACCCUGGUAGUCCACGCCGUAAACGAUGAGUGCUAGGUGUUGGGUCCUUUCCGGGACUCAGUGCCGCAGCUAACGCAUUAAGCACUCCGCCUGGGGAGUACGACCGCAAGGUUGAAACUCAAAGGAAUUGACGGGGGCCCGCACAAGCGGUGGAGCAUGUGGUUUAAUUCGAAGCAACGCGAAGAACCUUACCAGGUCUUGACAUCCCGAUGCUAUUUCUACUCCUUGGUCAUUUCUG
RNAcentral lists this ribosomal RNA (1012 nucleotides) under Streptococcus anginosus. RNAcentral's name for it is "bacterial SSU rRNA". The record is from RNAcentral. Lineage: Bacteria; Bacillati; Bacillota; Bacilli; Lactobacillales; Streptococcaceae.